UGUCAUUUAGAAGUAGUAAAACACAUAUUCUCAUUUGUGAAAUUUGAUCUCUUGUGUGCUCUUGGGUGUCCUUUGUUUAUCUAACACAUCAAGAAAACAUACAAGGAAACUUGCACGACCAUAAGCUAAUAGGUUAGAACAAUGCAAAUAAGAUAGGAAAAUUCCUUUGGAUAUGUGCUACGUAGUUGAUCUCUAGGUAAAGUCCUUUUCUCAACUAAACUAUAGGUUACUUUAUGAUGUGAAUUGCCUUUAGUUUUUUUUCAAAGUAUUAUGUGUUGUAUUUAAAGUUCUUGCAUUUAGAACGGUUACUUUAUGAUGUGAAUUACCUUUAGUUCUUUUAAAAGAUAUACAGUACGUCUUUGUAGAUCCAUCACUCACCUCUGCCGGACACUCGCAAGAAUCUUGAGUUCGAAACUUAUGCAGUAGAUUGAUGGUCUCAAAGAUUAAUGAAAUAGUUCUUGCUUCUUUUAAUCCUGGGGGUCAUUGGGCACUGCUGGCCACAAAUGCGUAUGAUGAUACAGUAUUUUACCUCGACUCACUAAGGACAACAUCGAAGUCAACUAUAAGAUACGUCACUGACACAGCAAUAGCGAUAUUUCAGUCACAAAAGAACAUUAAAAAAAGUAGAAAACAAACUUUAUGGCGAACAGUAAAGGCAAGUAUCAACUUUUAAAGUCAUUAUAUUUUUGUAGACUACUAGCAAUUAGGAUUACUUUGUUAUUCAAAUUUGUUGCUUUUAUAUAGUGUCCACUACAAGUCGGGAGUACUGAGUGUGGAUACUAUGUGAUGAGGUAUUUGAGAGAAAUUGUGACUAGGGGAAGCAUUGUCAUAUCCGAUGCGAUUGAUACACGAAGAUCAUACUCACAGGCAGAACUAGACGAGGUGCGAGUUGAGUUAGCUGACUUUUUGGGUUCUUACAUAUGAUUAUGACCAAUAUUUUGUGAUUCUGAAGUAGGAAAUUUUUUGUUGUGCCGCUUCUUUAUGACCUUAAACUUUAUGUAUAGAAAAUCUUAUAAUGCAACAAAAGAGAACAACUUCUUUUAUUAA
Cucumis sativus (cucumber) is the source of this 1047-nucleotide long non-coding RNA. RefSeq lists it as uncharacterized. The record is from RefSeq and is a predicted model, not a curated record. Lineage: Eukaryota; Viridiplantae; Streptophyta; Magnoliopsida; Cucurbitales; Cucurbitaceae. The transcript is spliced from 4 exons.